This 450-nucleotide ribosomal RNA is filed under the name uncultured bacterium. Its description in RNAcentral is "bacterial SSU rRNA". It matches the Rfam family "Bacterial small subunit ribosomal RNA", at positions 354 to 796 of the family's 1533-position model. The record is from RNAcentral.
GUGGGGAAUAUUGGACAAUGGGCGAAAGCCUGAUCCAGCCAUGCCGCGUGUGUGAAGAAGGUCUUCGGAUUGUAAAGCACUUUAAGUUGGGAGGAAGGGCAGUAAGUUAAUACCUUGCUGUUUUGACGUUACCGACAGAAUAAGCACCGGCUAACUUCGUGCCAGCAGCCGCGGUAAUACGAAGGGUGCAAGCGUUAAUCGGAAUUACUGGGCGUAAAGCGCGCGUAGGUGGUUUUUUAAGUUGGAGGUGAAAUCCCCGGGCUCAACCUGGGAACUGCCUCCAAAACUGCAUGACUAGAGUACGGUAGAGGGUAGUGGAAUUUCCUGUGUAGCGGUGAAAUGCGUAGAUAUAGGAAGGAACACCAGUGGCGAAGGCGACUACCUGGACUGAUACUGACACUGAGGUGCGAAAGCGUGGGGAGCAAACAGGAUUAGAAACCCGAGUAGUCC